Molecule: unclassified non-coding RNA, 366 nt
Filed under: Hevea brasiliensis (rubber tree)
Lineage: Eukaryota; Viridiplantae; Streptophyta; Magnoliopsida; Malpighiales; Euphorbiaceae
Source: RNAcentral
ACGACUUGAUACUUCUUUCAGGCCCUGAAAAUAAAGUGAAUUAGUACUGUACCACAAGCAGGGGUAGUAAAAUGGGUUAUAAAGCUUCAAGCAUUACUUGAUGAAUUAUCUGAAAAGUAUUUAAAUAACAACUAAAACUUAGCAAUUAUAACAGAAAAUUUUAAUUUUAUGGCCAGUGAUCUAUGGUUUUCUCAACUUAUCUGUCAUCAGCAACUCCACAGAUAACUAUUUGAGCAAGCAACAUGACUAAGAUGUUGAAGGUUUAUGAAAAAGGCAGAUGCCUGCUCUAUCAUAACUUGAAAGCUAACUGGAGUUAACUUUUAAAAACAGCAAAAAUAGAAAUUACAUUAAUUAAUUCCUUCCGAG